This is an RNA transcript of Nasonia vitripennis (jewel wasp), 2058 nucleotides long. It is a transcript of the gene named leukocyte elastase inhibitor, with no coding region annotated. The record is from RefSeq and is a predicted model, not a curated record. NCBI's taxonomy places the organism in Eukaryota, Metazoa, Arthropoda, Insecta, Hymenoptera, Pteromalidae. The transcript has 8 exons.
UCCUCGGCGCCAGCCGUUAUUGAAACAGUCUUCUGGGCGCGUUCGUUCGACGAGGACAUACACAUACCGGUACACACAGAGGCAUCCGACAAGUGUAAUCAUGGCAGAGAAUAAGCACGAAGAGGCUGUCGCUCAAGUAGCCAAGAGCGCGCAGAGCUUCACCAACGACUUCCACAAGAAUGUAGCCGGCAAGACCGACGGCAACUUCGUCAGUUCGGCCUUGAGCGCCCACGUGGUUCUGGCGAUGGCCGCCUACGGCGCUGACGGCAAGACCAAGGAGGAGAUGCAGCGGACUUUGCACCUGCCCGAGAAAGACGAAGUGGCUCACGAGGGAUUCCAGCACUUCCUUCACGCUAUCAAUAACGUGCCAGACGUCAUCCUCAAAAUAGCGAACAAAAUCUACGGCGCCAGCGAUCUUAAGAUCAAGGACCGAUUCCUGGAAAUCACCGGCAAACACUUCCAUUCGGAAUGCAGCAAGUUGGACUUCAGCAAAGCCAAGGAAUCGGCCGACGAAGUGAACAAUUGGUGCGUCGAGAAGACCAAUGGCAAAAUCAAGGAUCUUCUCACCGAAGGUGACGUCACCUCGGACACGCGGAUGAUCCUCCUCAACGCCGUGUACUUCAAGGGCAAGUGGUUGCACAAGUUCCACGAAGAGGCGACGGAGCCCAAGCCCUUCCACGUCAACAAGACGACGACGGUCGAUGUCCCAACGAUGCACAUCACCAAAAAAUUCUUUUACAAGGAUCUGAAGGAAUUGAACGCCGAAGUCGUAGCUCUUCCGUACGAGAACGAAGACUUGGCGCUGGUGAUCAUAGUUCCUAAAGAGAUCGACGGACUGAAGCAAGUCGAGGACAAUCUUGAGAAGAUUCAAAUUGACGAGCACGACCUCAAGCGCUACAAGCGCGAAAUCAAUUUGGCGCUGCCGAAAUUCAAAAUCGAGACCACCAUAGAUUUGAACCAGCAUCUCGAUGAGCUGGGAAUGUCAACGAUGUUCACCGAUAAAGCCGAUUUCAGUGGCAUAGCUAGUGAAUCUCUGAAGGUCAGCAAGGUACUGCAGAAGGCCUUCAUCGAGGUUAAUGAGGAAGGCAGUGAAGCAGCAGCAGUUACAGCUGUUAUGAUGGUACGGUGCUGCGCGAUGAUGCCUCCUCAACCACCACACAAAUUGACCGUGGAUAGGCCAUUUUUUUACAAGAUAGUUUAUAAAGGCAUCCCGUUAUUCAGUGGUCACGUUGUUAAACCUUUAGAAUAAAAAUAUAUUCUGCUCAACACUCGAUUAUUCAAAAUUGAAAAUAUGUUAUAAAGCUUUAAUAAUGCGUGUUUGAAAUAAGACUGUUAUAGAACUAUUAUGAUGGAUAUGAUGGAUACGCUGUGUGAAGAGCAGAAGCUUACGAUUGACAGACCAUUCAUUUACAAGAUUGUAUACAAAUCCAGCGUGCUAUUUAGCGGCCAUGUAGUCUACCCUCUUAAAUAAAUGAUGAUGAGCGAUGAUAAUGUUGUGCUCAUUACCACCACCGCCGCAGAGAUUUAACGUGGACAAAUCAUUCUUUUACAAGAUUGUGUACAAGAACCAUGUUCUUUUUUCCGGCCGCGUAACGAAUCCAUCAAUCGCAGCUUGAACGUCAAUAUGAUUCAAUCAUCUGUGAUAGGCCAUACCAUUAUUUGUAAUUGCGAUAGUACAUACGAAAGCUUUUCAAAAAAUAUUAUUUUACUCUUUCAACGAAAAAAAAUAUAUAUAUUUUCAAUUGAAUGAAUUUUUAAUUUAGGUAUUAGUAUGAUGACCUACAUGAUGCCCCCACCUCCGAUAGUUCUGAACGUGGAUAAGCCAUACCUCUACCAGAUUGUUUGCAAAGAUAGCACUAUAUUCAGUGGUCGCGUUGCCAACCCCCUCAAAUAAUUUAUGUUUUCGCCAAGCAUCAUAAAUUUCUAGCGCCUUUUCUAUUGUGUAACGAAGCGAAAAUAUUUUAUUUUGUAUCAAUGUGAAAGAUAUUUGUAUUUGUAUUUUGUACGUUAAAAACGUAUGUUUGACUGCAUUAUGAUAAAUAAAGUAUAUUUAUACAA